CGGACGGGUGAGUAACGCGUGAGAAUCUGGCUUCAGGUCUGGGACAACCACUGGAAACGGUGGCUAAUACCGGAUGUGCCGAAAGGUGAAAGGUUAACUGCCUGAAGAUGAGCUCGCGUCUGAUUAGCUAGUUGGUAGAGUAAAAGCCUACCAAGGCGACGAUCAGUAGCUGGUCUGAGAGGACGAUCAGCCACACUGGGACUGAGACACGGCCCAGACUCCUACGGGAGGCAGCAGUGGGGAAUUUUCCGCAAUGGGCGAAAGCCUGACGGAGCAAUACCGCGUGAGGGAGGAAGGCUCUUGGGUCGUAAACCUCUUUUCUCAGGGAAGAACACAAUGACGGUACCUGAGGAAUAAGCAUCGGCUAACUCCGUGCCAGCAGCCGCGGUAAUACGGAGGAUGCAAGCGUUAUCCGGAAUGAUUGGGCGUAAAGCGUCCGCAGGUGGCAAUGUAAGUCUGCUGUUAAAGAGUCUAGCUCAACUAGAUAAGAGCAGUGGAAACUACAUAGCUAGAGUACGUUCGGGGCAGAGGGAAUUCCUGGUGUAGCGGUGAAAUGCGUAGAGAUCAGGAAGAACACCGGUGGCGAAGGCGCUCUGCUAGGCCGUAACUGACACUGAGGGACGAAAGCUAGGGGAGCGAAUGGGAUUAGAUACCCCAGUAGUC
RNAcentral lists this ribosomal RNA (663 nucleotides) under uncultured cyanobacterium. RNAcentral describes it as "bacterial SSU rRNA". It matches the Rfam family "Bacterial small subunit ribosomal RNA", at positions 99 to 795 of the family's 1533-position model. Lineage: Bacteria; Bacillati; Cyanobacteriota. The record is from RNAcentral.